UGGUCCAGACUUUGAUUCUGGCUCAGGAUGAACGCUAGCUACAGGCUUAACACAUGCAAGUCGAGGGGAAACGACAUUGAAAGCUUGCUUUUGAUGGGCGUCGACCGGCGCACGGGUGAGUAACGCGUAUCCAACCUGCCCACCACUUGGGGAUAACCUUGCGAAAGUAAGACUAAUACCCAAUGACGUCUCUAGAAGACAUCUGAAAGAGAUUAAAGAUUUAUCGGUGAUGGAUGGGGAUGCGUCUGAUUAGCUUGUUGGCGGGGUAACGGCCCACCAAGGCUACGAUCAGUAGGGGUUCUGAGAGGAAGGUCCCCCACAUUGGAACUGAGACACGGUCCAAACUCCUACGGGAGGCAGCAGUGAGGAAUAUUGGUCAAUGGACGAGAGUCUGAACCAGCCAAGUAGCGUGCAGGAUGACGGCCCUAUGGGUUGUAAACUGCUUUUAUAAGGGAAUAAAGUGAGUCUCGUGAGACUUUUUGCAUGUACCUUAUGAAUAAGGACCGGCUAAUUCCGUGCCAGCAGCCGCGGUAAUACGGAAGGUCCGGGCGUUAUCCGGAUUUAUUGGGUUUAAAGGGAGCGUAGGCCGGAGAUUAAGCGUGUUGUGAAAUGUAGAUGCUCAACAUCUGCACUGCAGCGCGAACUGGUUUCCUUGAGUACGCACAAAGUGGGCGGAAUUCGUGGUGUAGCGGUGAAAUGCUUAGAUAUCACGAAGAACUCCGAUUGCGAAGGCAGCUCACUGGAGCGCAACUGACGCUGAAGCUCGAAAGUGCGGGUAUCGAACAGGAUUAGAUACCCUGGUAGUCCGCACGGUAAACGAUGGAUGCCCGCUGUUGGUCUGAGUAGGUCAGCGGCCAAGCGAAAGCAUUAAGCAUCCCACCUGGGGAGUACGCCGGCAACGGUGCAACUCAAAGGAAUUGACGGA
This 925-nucleotide ribosomal RNA is filed under the name uncultured organism. RNAcentral describes it as "bacterial SSU rRNA". It matches the Rfam family "Bacterial small subunit ribosomal RNA", at positions 1 to 917 of the family's 1533-position model. The record is from RNAcentral.